RNAcentral lists this non-coding RNA (636 nucleotides) under Pan troglodytes (chimpanzee). The record is from RNAcentral. Lineage: Eukaryota; Metazoa; Chordata; Mammalia; Primates; Hominidae.
GACUUCACUCUGGGGUUGCUUGCUGGCUGAAAGGAAGGAGAAUCAAAUUUGGAAAUAUCUGAAAGGAAAUCCAGAUAUAGGCUAUUAAUAGACGAGAGGUGAAGCUAGGCUAUAUCAGCUGCUGAGGUACUACCAAUUAUACUUAGAUUAAGGAGAGGAUUUUAAAUAAGAGCAUGAACCUAAGGCCAUGAGAGUGGGAGGAAUAACGAGCUUUCAAAACUUCUAAUUUUCAGAGGCCAAGGCCUCAACCAUGGCUUAUGUAUAACAAAGCUGAUUUUACAUAAUAAGAGAAAUAAAAAUUUAUUUUCAGGAAAGUUUAGGAAACUAAGAAAAAAAUAAGGUUAAUUGUGUUUGAGGGAGUAUCUUAAAGUUUCAAUAGUGCCAUAAGAGGAAAAAAAAAGAAGCAUAUGGAAUAAUGAAAUUGUGAAGACUCUCUGGCUUAGGAGGCAUCCAUCGUUUACUGCUGCCCAAACUUCUCUACCAGGCAUUUAAAAUCUUCCAUUCGCAGGUAAUUAUCCAGUUGAUAUUUAUCUUGUUCCAGUCACCUUAAGAAAGCUGUUUGGCAAGGGCAGUGACUGGAAGCUGGGAGAGAGGGUCAACAGCUGAAUCUCAGCCUGAUGGAGGCCACCAUUUAAU